AUGAGCGCGAAAAUAAGCGACGAGUGCAGUAUACAGCUGCGCGCGCGCGCGCGUGCAAAUAGCACGAGAAUUGUCACCGCGAUAAGUGCGCCGCGUAAGCUACGACGCACGAGCCAGCUUGGCGUACAUAGGUGAGAUCGAUGGAAAGGGAAAUGAGUGUACAGGGAUUGUUUUGUUUAUUUAUUAAGGAGGUGUUGGAUGCCACGUGUUCUCUUCGUUCUUGCGGAUAGAGCGGCGUUUAUACUUGGUCUUGUCUUCGUCGAUCUGUAAAACACCAGAUAUGCAAAAAACUAAGUAUCUCAAGAUCAAGGGCCUGUUAAAGUUCAAGUUGUCUACAAACUAAGUCUUAUCCUUGUUAUAGUCAUGCGAUGUUGAAAAAAAUUGAACUAUUCGACCAUCUUUUUUAGACGAGAUUCGUCAACUGUUACUAAAUGCUGUCCUAUUAAAUGUUGAUCGAAUCAAUUUCUUUGAAAGGAUUUCUUGCCGGUGGAAGAAUAAAAAAAAGUGAGAUUCGUAAAUUUUAUGAAAUUGAAUAUUACCUGUAAUACUUACAUAUACGUAUGCAUAAAUAAAGAUACACACUCUUUUUCCAUAUUAUUAA
Molecule: long non-coding RNA, 601 nt
Organism: Nasonia vitripennis (jewel wasp)
Lineage: Eukaryota; Metazoa; Arthropoda; Insecta; Hymenoptera; Pteromalidae
Exons: 2
Source: RefSeq, a predicted model, not a curated record